UAGGGAAUCUUCGGCAAUGGGGGGAACCCUGACCGAGCAACGCCGCGUGAGUGAAGAAGGUUUUCGGAUCGUAAAGCUCUGUUGUUAAGGAAGAACGAGUGUGAGAAUGGAAAGUUCAUACUGUGACGGUACUUAACCAGAAAGGGACGGCUAACUACGUGCCAGCAGCCGCGGUAAUACGUAGGUCCCGAGCGUUGUCCGGAUUUAUUGGGCGUAAAGCGAGCGCAGGCGGUUAGAUAAGUCUGAAGUUAAAGGCAGUGGCUCAACCAUUGUAGGCUUUGGAAACUGUUUAACUUGAGUGCAGAAGGGGAGAGUGGAAUUCCAUGUGUAGCGGUGAAAUGCGUAGAUAUAUGGAGGAACACCGGUGGCGAAAGCGGCUCUCCGGUCUGUAACUGACGCUGAGGCUCGAAAGCGUGGGGAGCGAACAGG
This 429-nucleotide ribosomal RNA is filed under the name Bacteroidota bacterium. RNAcentral describes it as "Bacteroidetes bacterium partial 16S ribosomal RNA". It matches the Rfam family "Bacterial small subunit ribosomal RNA", at positions 355 to 776 of the family's 1533-position model. The record is from RNAcentral. Lineage: Bacteria; Pseudomonadati; Bacteroidota.